UGGGGAAUUUUGGACAAUGGGCGAAAGCCUGAUCCAACAAUGCCGCGUGUGUGAAGAAGGCCUUCGGGUUGUAAAGCACUUUUGUCCGGAAAGAAAUCCUUGGCUCUAAUACAGUCGGGGGAUGACGGUACCGGAAGAAUAAGCACCGGCUAACUACGUGCCAGCAGCCGCGGUAAUACGUAGGGUGCAAGCGUUAAUCGGAAUUACUGGGCGUAAAGCGUGCGCAGGCGGUUUGCUAAGACCGAUGUGAAAUCCCCGGGCUCAACCUGGGAACUGCAUUGGUGACUGGCAGGCUAGAGUAUGGCAGAGGGGGGUAGAAUUCCACGUGUAGCAGUGAAAUGCGUAGAGAUGUGGAGGAAUACCGAUGGCGAAGGCAGCCCCCUGGGCCAAUACUGACGCUCAUGCACGAAAGCGUGGGGAGCAAACAGGAUUAGAUACCCUGGUAGUCCACGCCCUAAACGAUGUCAACUAGUUGUUGGGGAUUCAUUUCCUUAGUAACGUAGCUAACGCGUGAAGUUGACCGCCUGGGGAGUACGGUCGCAAGAUUAAAACUCAAAGGAAUUGACGGGGUCAUA
Molecule: ribosomal RNA, 575 nt
Filed under: uncultured bacterium
Lineage: Bacteria
Description: partial 16S ribosomal RNA
Rfam family: Bacterial small subunit ribosomal RNA
Source: RNAcentral